RNAcentral lists this long non-coding RNA (1522 nucleotides) under Phasianus colchicus (ring-necked pheasant). RNAcentral describes it as "lncRNA (ENSPCLG00000000655.1)". The record is from RNAcentral. Lineage: Eukaryota; Metazoa; Chordata; Aves; Galliformes; Phasianidae.
UUCUUUCAGACUUUACAGCAACAUAUCUGCAUGUGCACUUACCUGGCAUGAAACAACUCCCAGCUCUCCUUGAUAAUGAUGAAAAAUGAAAGGGUGUCCCUAGGAAGAGCAUGAAUCUGCAGUUGGAGGAGCGACGUGGGCACCUGAGGUACCUCGCACACACAGCUGCUCUCAGGAGUGGGAUGCAAUCCCACUGUGCUGCGCAUGCUGUAGUCUCCUGUAGUCCAUUGUACCUACAUUGGGAUGUUUUAAAGCUGGGACAGGAAAGUAAAUGGAGAAAGGGAUGCUACAAGGAAAGAUUGUUGAAAGGAAGGAUGGAGGAAGGAAGCAGAGGGAAGAGUUAUCUGUAUGCAGCCUUCUGUUCCUGCUGCAUACUCCUUCAGGAGCAGCACCCCAGGGAACUGUCACUCCACAUGCACCGGCCCAGACAGGUGCUCAUCUACGCUCCUUAGACAUAUUGGGCAAAGCAGCUGGAAAAGAAGCCAAGCACAUGGAGCAGACUGACUGCUGAAGUCAGAUUGGCUUUUGUAGUCUAGCCCAUCAGUCUGGAUCAGACACUCAGUGUUAGCUGCUUCCUCCCGGUUGGGACUUAUAGCCAGUGAUUCAUUAUGAGGGAGAUGCAACAUUUCUGAACAGCGUGUCUUGAUGCAUUCAAGAGAAGACUGACUUGGUCAGCAAGCAGUGAAGAAACCUCCCCCUCAGCCCCAGUCCUUGGCAUUCUCUUUGGAAAGCUCUGCAUUUGUCUGGAUGCACUCCUCACCUCUUGCAAUGAUAGCUACACUCAUCCACCACUUCAGAGCAUCUUGUUAACUUCCUUCCCACCCUUGUUUUUAAAGGCCUCCUAAGGAGAAAUUACUCUGAUCUCUCUGAAUCAAAUAACCCCUUACAUCUGGUAGCAUUAGGGCUAGCUAGGGAAGAGGAGUUGUGUCGGAGGAUGCUGGCAGUGUGAUCACACCAUAGCAUAGUCACAUUUUCACCUGCUCAUGUGGUCCAGCACAGCUGUGACUUGCUGGUAAUUACUUGCUUGUAGCUGGUGUGAGACUUCCAGUUUUAAAAGCCAUCUGCUUACCUCCAGAUCCCUGUUGUGUGAUCUUUCAUUUGGAGUUCACCUCUACAGUUUAUGGCAGCUUCCACGAUAACAGUCCAGCUGGAGUUCCUCUUGAUUCCAUUCUAUGUUGGCUUUGUCUCCUUUUAAAGGACAUUUUGUGUCUUUUAGUGAGUGCCAACCAGGAGGCUCAGUGUAGCCUGGCAGUAUUUGACCCAAAGGGAACAGCAGUGUACGGUGGGAGGAGAUUGGUGUGCCUGGAUGUUCAUUUGUGCACUCCAAAUCUGCUCAGGUAGAGAUGUGAUCAGAAUGACCUUUCCCAUGAGCUUCAAGUGCUUCAAUAUUAAAUGGGAAAUAGCACAAGAUCAAUGUGCAUCGUGGCUUUUUAAUGCUUUAGUCUGAACCAGGAGAGACAGUAAUAAGAAAAAGUCAGAAUAAUUUAAUAAAUGCUGUGUGUGCUUUUUUUCCUUCUGGAGA